CUUUGCUUCCUGAGGAAGAUCUUCACUGCCAACUACUUGGUAGUGCACUACUUCUUCCCGGAGGCUAUCCAGGUCCAAUCGCAGCUGCGGCUUGGAACUUACAAGAGUAUUUCUUCAUCUUACUCGUCGUCGCCGCGGCUGUAUCUUCCUCGUUCUUCUGCUUCGUCUCCUUGUUGUGUGCGCAGUUGUGUACUGCACUCUCUAAAAGCCGUAGAUGUUAUUGUCACAUAUGCAUGUACAGUAGAUGGCAGUAUUUUCCUGUUUAAGAGUGUCACAACAUUGCUGUUUACGGCAGACGAACUGCUUUACGGUAGAGGAAAACGUGACUGCUGUUGUUGUGUGUUUUUACCGCACUGGGAGGACGUUAAUGAAACUGCCUAACAAUAAUCCCACAUAAGAAACCAAGAACUCGCCCUCGAUCAUUCUACAUUUAUAACGUCUGUUCUUCUUCAGUUAUGAAGAUUACUAUAUUUGGUGUGUGUUUAUUGCCAAGUUAUUUCAAUUGGUUCUGCUAAGUGAGCUGUACCUUUAAGAAACGCGUAGGUAGGUCACGUGUUUAGACCCCGGAAGCAUUUCAAACUGGUGCGCACAACUCCACUUCACUCGUGUUUCUAAGCAAACAACUAUUACAUCUUAUGCUGUUCGUGGCAUCGUUGCGCCUCCUACAGAGCAGAAAUGUUUCUGAACAAGACAUGCAGCGUGGUGCAUCAUGGUUGGACGUGGACCGGACUAAUGGACCACAUCUGUCCGGAGCAAUUCUGCAUCACCACCUUGAAGAAGGGGUCGGUCCCGGUGCUCACCACCUCCAAGCAGCGACCUGUGCCCGCGUUUCGCACCCUGCCGUUCUGCGGGGCGAAAAACUGUCAGUGACAGAAUGCCUCUCACUUCCCUUUGACCUCCGACAUCACCAAACGCGGCACUUACCGGAGUGUAGAGCCACAAGCUCGUCAGCACCUCUGUCACCUUGUUGCAGGGCAGGAGCCGCGGUAGGAAACUCUGGCGGUCGUCCACUAAGCAGAGAGCGUACCAGUUGUGGAAGCCCAGCGCGCCCAACAUCAGCUGACCCUUGGUGGUGAAACGAACCAGCUGAGGGUACACAACACGACGACAAACGUCAACACAAAGACAACACAAUUGAGUACGCUGCAAGUCUAACAGAGCUUCUGCGGGUAUCGGAAAAUCUAAUUGAAUGCUUUUUUAAUGCAACUUAAAGGCCUACUGAAAUGACAUUUUCUUAUUUAAACGGGAUAGCAGGUGCAUUCUAUGUGUCAUACUUAAUCAUUUUGCGAUAUUGCCAUAUUUUUGCUGAAAGGAUUUAGUAGAGAACAUCCACGAUAAAGUUCGCAACUUUCGGUGCUAAGAGAAAUGCCCUGCCUCUAUCAGAAGUCGCAGACGAUAAAUGAUAAAUGAUAAAUGGGUUGUACUUGUAUAGCGCUUUUCUACCUUCAAGGUACUCAAAGCGCUUUGACACUACUUCCACAUUUACCCAUUCGCACACACAUUCACACACUGAUGGAGGGAGCUGCCAUGCAAGGCGCCAACCAGCACCCAUCAGGAGCAAGGGUGAAGUGUCUUGCUCAGGACACAACGGACGUGACGAGGUUGGUACUAGGUGGGAUUUGAAACCGGGACCCUCGGGUUGCGCACGGCCACUCUCCCACUGCGCCACGCCGUCCCGAUGAGGUCACAUGUUGAUGGCUUCUCACAUAUUCAUUGUUUUUAAUGGGAGCCUCCAACCAAAAGUGCUAUUCGGACCGAGAAAACGACAAUUUCCCCAUUAAUUUGAGCAAGGAUGAAAGAUUCGUGUUUGAGGAUAUUGAUAGCGACUCACUAGAAAAAAAAAAAAAAACACGAUUGCAUUGGGACGGAUUCAAAUGUUUUUAGACACAUUUGCUAAGUUAAUUCUGGGAAAUCCCUUAUCUUUCCUUUGUGUUGCUAGUGUUUUAGUGAGUUAAAUAGUACCUGAUAGUCGGAAGGGUGUGUCUACGGGUGUCUUGACGCGCAGCGUCGACGGCAGCUAUGGACGGCACAAGCUCAGCUUUUCUCCGGUAAGAACUGACUUUUUAACCACAAUUUUCUCACCGAAACCUGCUGGUUGACAUUUGGUCGUGAUCCAUGUUGGCUUGACCGCGCUCUGAUCCAUAGAAAAGUUUCACCUCCAGGAAUUUUAAACAAGGAAUCAACGUGUGUUUGUGUGGCUAAAGGCUAAAGCUUCCCAACUCCAUCUUUCUACUGUGACUUCUCCAAUAUUAAUUGAACAAAUUGCAAAAGAUUCAGCAACACAGAUUUCCAAAAAACUGUAUAAUUAUGCCGUUAAAGCAGACGACAUUUAGCUGUGUGUGUGCUUCAUACUUCCCAAAAACCCGUGACGCCUUGCGUACACGUCAUCAUUACAUGACGUUUCGAAGACGAAACUCCCGGGAAAUUUAAAAUUGUAAUUUAGUAAACUAAAAAUGCCGUAUUGGCAUGUGUUGCAAUGUAAAUAUUUCAUCAUUGAUAUAUAAACUAUCAGACUGCGUGGUGGGUAGUAGUGGGUUUCAGUAGGCCUUUAAAACACUUAUUGCUCAUCCCAGCAGGCACAAAACAUUGAUACAACGUUGAUUAUACGUACGGGUCCUUUUAAAACUGACUCUGAAACAAUGUAGCAAAAUAGUUAUAUUUGUACAUUGAAACAACGUUGAUGCCUAAUGUUGGAUCCACAUUGUUGAUUGGGAAAUAACAAAAUUUCAAUGGUCAAAUCAACGUCAGACCGUGACAUUGACUAAGCGCCGUCAAAAAGCAUGUUGUUUGAAUGUUGUAUUUGUAUUGUAGACAAUUGGUUGGGAAAUGACCACAUUUCAAUGAUCAAGUCAACGUCAGAACCCAACAUUGAUUAAACGUCAAAAAGCAUGUUGUUUCAGCGCUACGUUUGUGUUGUAGAAUAUUAGUAAGAAAAUUACCAAAUUUCAAUGGUCAAGUCACUGUCAGAACCCAACAUUGAUUAAACGUCGUCCAAAAGUAUUUUGUUUCAACAUUAUAUUUGUGUUGUAGAAUAUUGGUUGGGAAAUUACCAAAUUUCAAUGGUCAAAUCAACGUCAGAAACUGAUAUUGAAUAAACAUCAAAAAGCAUGUUAUUUUUAACUUUACGUUUGUGUUGUAGAAUAUUAGUAGGAAAACGAGCAAAAUUUAAUGGUCAACUCAAAGUAACAACCCAAAAUUUAUUAAACGUCCUCAAAAAGUAUGUUGUUUCAACGUUAUGUUUGUGUUGUAGAAUAUUGGUUGGGAAAUGACCCAAUUUCAAUGGUCAAGUCAACGUCAGAACCCGACAUUAAAUAAACGUCAAAAAGCAUCUUGUUUUAAUGUUGUAUUAGUAUUGUAGAAUAUUGGUUGGGAAAUGACCAACAUUUCAAUGGUCAAAUUUGUCAGAACUCAACAUGAUUAAACAUCGUCAAAGAGUAUGUUGUUUCAACAUUAUGUUUGAGUUGUAGGAUAUUGUUUGGGAAAAUUACCAAAUUUGAAUGGUCAAGUCAACGUCAGAACCCAACUUUGACUAAAUGUUGUGAAAAAGAAUGUUGUUUCAACGUUAUGUUUGUGUUGUAGAAUAUUGCUUGGAAAAUGACCAAAAUUUCAAUGGUCUAAUCAACAUUAGAACCCAACAAUAAAUAUACGUCAUCAAAAAGCAUGUUGUUUCAACAUUACGCUAGUGUUGUAGAAUAUUGAUUGGUAAACGGACAAAUUUCAAUGGUUAAAUCAACGUCAGAACCCGACAUUGAAUAAACUACGUUUAUUAUUAUUGUUUCAAUGUUGUAUUUAUGUUGUGGAACAGGGGUCCCCAACCUGUUUUGCACCAUGUACCAGUUUAAUGUACGCAUUAAUUUCCAUGUGUGGCAGAUAAAUUCAGCAAAAAUAAAUGUAUGAAAAAUACAAGUCACUAUAACACUGAAUUAGUGGGAACCUAGGACGUGUUUCUUUGCAAUGAGAUCUCCAGCAGGUUGAUGGCAGUAUAUACCAUCAACCUACUGGGGACUGCAGAUGAAAAUCAGCUUUUGGUUACAGUCUGUCACACUUAUAUGUUCAUUAAUGUACAUUGUAUCAUGUCACAAGGUUAUAACAAAUAUAAUGACAAGCGACUUCCUAUGAGAAGUUAUAUUGUUUAUUUAUAAACAAGCUAAUUGGUGUGUCUAGUGGGAUGGGCGAAAGUUAAGUUUUUUUAAUCAAUUCCUUUAUCACGAAUUGAUUAACGUUGACCCUGACUUUAACAAGUUCCAUCCAUCCAUUUUCUACCGCUUAUUCCCUUUCGGGGUCGCGGGGGGCGCUGGCGCCUAUCUCAGCUACAAUCGGGCGGAAGGCAGGGUACACCCUGGACAAGUUGAAAAACUUAUUUGGGUGUUACCAUUUAGUGGUCAAUCGUACGGAAUAUGUACUGUACUGUGCACUCUACUAAUAAAAGUUUAAAUCAAUCAAGUCGGAGAAAAUGCAUUUAAUGUUUCUGUACGACCCGAUAGAAAAUUCAUCACGAACCAGUACCGGUCCCCUGACUUGUGGUUACAGACCUCUGUUGUAGAAUAUCUGUUGGGAAACGACCAAAAUUCAAUGUCAGAACUCAACAUUGAUUAAACGUAAUCAAAAAGCAUGUUGUUUCAACGUUAUGUUUGAGUUGCUCAACCUCAGGACCUAAUUCAACAAGUUCUCAACGUUGUUUCAAUGUCUUGUGCCUGCUGGGAUGUUACUGCAGAUGGUUAGGGUAUAUCAUCGAGAGCAUACAACUGUCUGUAUAGACAAAAAGGAAAGCAAUUGACAAAGGUAAUGUUUAACAGCUGACAAGUUGACAUUAACUGUGGCCAAAUGAAGCACCAAUGUAAUCAUAACAUAAUAAUGCCAAAAACAUAUUUUUCCUACUGUAUUAUUUGUAACUAUUGUACCGUAUGUUUGGAGUAUAAGUCGCACCUGCCAAAAAUGCUUAAUAAAGAAGGAAAAAAACAUAUAUAAGUCGCACUGGAGUAUAAGUAAACUUUUUGGGGGAAAUAUAUUUGAUAAAACCCAACACCAAGAAUAGACAUUUGAAAGGCAAUUUCAAAUAAAUAAAGAAGAGUGAACAACAGGCUGAAUAAGUGUACGUUAUAUGACGCAUAAAUAACCAACUGAGAAGGUGCCUGGUAUGUUAACGUAACAUAUUAUGGUAAGAGUCAUUCAAAUAACUAUAACAUAUAGAACAUGCUAUACGUUUACCAAACAAUGUGUCACUCCUAAUCGAUAAAUCCCAUGAAGUCUUAUACGUCUAGUCUCUUACGUGAAUGAGCUAAAUAAUAUUAUUUGAUAUUUUACGGUAAUGUGUUAAUAAUUUCACACAUAAGUCGCUCCUGAGUAUAAGUCGCACCCCUGGCCAAACUAUGAAAAAAACUGCGACUUAUAGUCCGAAAAAUACGGUAAAUAGAAGGUCAAUGACUCAAUUAUUCUAAAUAGGCUCUCAAUAUUUGUUGGCAAAAAAUGCACUUCAAUAAAUGUCUUGAAGUGCAUUUUUCUUCAAAUAAAAAAUUGUUGUGUGGUUUGUUUUGUUGUCUUUGCCAUUGGAUAUUUUACGUAAUGCUUUUCAAUCCUAUGCAAGGCCUUGAUUUUCGCAAAAUCCACGUAAUGAUUUUUUUUCAUGCUUUUUUUUAAUGCUUUCUAGUGACCCACGGAGAACCUGCUAGCAGCUUUUUGUGUGCAAACUCAAAAGUCCAAUUUCCUUCUUUUUAGCUUUUACACACCAAGUUAACGUCACGCUGUCAACAAAAGUGACGGAUUGUUUAGGACGCGGGUGUCAAAAGUGCGGCCCCGACGGCUAUUUUUCUUUUUUAUUCUAAAAAUACAAAUAAGCAAGAAUGGGGGCAAUAAACAACAGUAAUCUGACAAGAAGAAAGUGCAAAUAUGUGAUCAAAGGUCAUGAUCCUGUCCUGCCACACCUGUCUUUCUGCUGCCUCCCUUCUUCGUGUUAUAGUGCCUGUGUUUGGAGCUCCUGGGGCGCAGGGACCAUCGCACACCUGUAAUCAGUCUACCAUUAGGCCAAGAAAUAGCUCCAACAGCUUCAUUUUCUCGUCUGGUUGAUUACAGUGGUACGUUGGUUUUAGUCUCCCGUUCCAAAUGGUCCCAUGACAACCAAAUUGUAGGAAAAACAAAGGCAUUUUUUCCCGUAAGAAAUAAUGCAAAAUGAAAUGAAUGAAUGAACGUUUCAUGUCGCUUUUACUUUUUCUUGAAGGAAACACCCACGCGGACGCCACUGUCCAGUGUUUCUCACCUUUAGUAUCAAAGUGCUGGCAAACGCAACUUUCCUUGGUCCCACGUUAGAUUAUUGUGCAGUCAUACUUAAAAAAAAAAUCAGGGAAUCUUUUGUGUCGUUUCCUUUUUGCAAUCUAUUGAUGAUACGCCGGAAAUAAAAAUGUUAUUUUACGUGCGAUGUGUGAAAGUACAAAAAGUAAAAAGGCCAUCUGCAAUUUUGGAUUUGUAAUUUAUAAUCGGAUUUGUUAGAUUUUAAAGUCGACUGAUCGGUUAACGCUGUUGUUGUUUCACGAAGAUCACAGCUCAUGGUGAGUCCCACAAAUAAGCAGAUAUUAUUUAUGGUUUCUUUUCUACUUCAAAUAAAAAGGCGAAAACUGCCAGAGAAACAAACAUGGUAAAGUUUUGCCUCGCUGUGGUCGACUUCAGCUCUGAAGACGAUCAAACUUGACAAUCUAGAACAGGAGUGAAAUUACUGCUAAAACUACACAAACACACAAAAAUGUUUUACUCCCUAAUAUUUUUCCCCCCCAAUUUUUUUUUUUGUUGCAAAUACAAACAUUUUUUUCUGCAAGUGAAAAAAACCAUUCAAAAGUAUAAAAAACGAUUUUAUUCAAUUAAAAACGAUUUGCAAGUUCAAUAACAAUGUUCUUCCCAGUAAAAAGUAUAAAAGAGUAUAAAAACAAUUUUCUUCAAUAAAAAAAAUAUUCACAUGGAUAAAAACAAUUUUCUUCAAUUAAAGAAACGGAUGUGUGAAAGUACAAAAAGUAAAAAGGCUAUCUGCAAUUUUGGAUUUGUAAUUUAUAAUCGGAUUUGUUAGAUUUUAAAGUCGACUGAUCGGUUAACGCUGUUGUUGUUUUCCGAAGAUCACAGCUCAUGGUGAGUCCCACAAAUAAGCAGAUAUUAUUUAUGGUUUUCUUUUCUACCUCAAAUAAAAAGGUAAAAACACCCAGAGAAGCAAACAUGGUAGAGGUUGGCCUCGCUGUGGUCGACUUUAGCUCUGAAGACGAUCAAACUUGACAAUCCAGAACAGGAGUGAAAUUACUGCUAAAACUACACAAACACACAAAAAUGUUUUUACUCCCUAAUAUUUUUCCCCCCCAUUUUUAUUUUUUUGCAAAUACAAAUUUUUUU
Nerophis ophidion (straightnose pipefish) is the source of this 7365-nucleotide long non-coding RNA. RefSeq lists it as uncharacterized. NCBI's taxonomy places the organism in Eukaryota, Metazoa, Chordata, Actinopteri, Syngnathiformes, Syngnathidae. The transcript has 2 exons. The record is from RefSeq and is a predicted model, not a curated record.